AGCGCACUUGACGUGGACCAGAGAAGCACUAUUUCGAUUUUAGUCAGUUCCUUUUCGUCUUUCGCAUCGUUCGCACCGCACACGGGAAAUAUUACCAACCUCCGUCAUGUUGUUGAAGCCUUAUCAGUUGGCCAUAGCCAUAGCUCUUUUCUUGGCCUGCUUCAGUCCCGAAGUAAGUUGCUUUGCUCGGAACUUUGGCCGUCCGAAUGCAACGUACUAUGCGCCGGCCCAGACUUAUCCGGGACAUAACUAUACAAGGCCGAACAUUGGCUUCCAGCAGCACUAUCCAGCUCAGCCCGCUUACAAUUCGGGACCGAAUCCCAUCUACGGCAAUCGUCCUGGAAAUUAUUCUCUUCAUGGUGGCUAUCGUCCCCGCAACAAUACCAACAUUUUCGCAAGACUUUUCAAGUUCUGUCUUUGUCUCUGCUGCCUGUAGAUCGAUCACCAGCUAGAAGCGUCGAGAACGACACCCAUAUGAGAGUACAUCAAAAUGUCAUAGGAGAUGAACCGCCUUACACAAGCACUCAACUGGACUGGAGUUGGUAGUAGUUCUCCUGGUAGUGCUCUCCUGGUAGUGCUCCCCUGGUAGUGCUCUCCUGCUCUUUGUCUGGCCUGCUUCAGUCCCGAAGUAAGUUCCCGUCGUAUCCAGUCUUCGCAUCGUCGAACGCACUAUACCAACAAUUAUACAGCUGGAUGGAACUAUACCAGCCACAACAUUAGUUACCAGAACCACCAUCUAGCUAAGCCCGCUUACAAUUCGGGACCGAAUCUCAUCUACGGCAAUCAUACUGGAAAUUAUUCGCUUCAUGGGGGCUAUCGUCCCCACAACAACACUAGCUUCCCAACAUACUAUCCAGCUAAGUACGAUUACAUGCCGAAUCCCAUCCACGGCAAUCAUACUGGAAAUUAUUCGCUUCAUGGGGGCGACCAUCCCCACAACAUUAGCUUCCCAACAUACUAUCCAGCUAAUCCCAUCCACGGCAAUCAUACUGGAAAUUAUACGCUUCAUGGGGGCGACCAUCCCCACAACAACAUUAGCUUCCCAACAUACUAUCCAGCGAAUCCCAUCCACGGCAAUCAUACUGGAAAUUAUUCGCUUCCCCACAACAGCACCAACAUUUUUGCCAGACUUUUCAAGCUCUGGUAGAAGCUAAACUAUCCUACAAUCUGAAAUUAAAAUCAUCUUUAAAUUCGCCGAAAAUAACAAGUCAAGGUUGAGUUCAUUUUUUCAAAAAACAUUUAUUCAGCAGAUAAUCCGCAAGUGAUCACGGGAUUAUCUUGAUCAUCGUAUUAAAUGGCUUGCUUUCCGGUAUUCCAGGAACGUAUCGCAUAUAUAUUAUAUAUAUAUAGCGUAUAUAGAUUUGAUAUAUAGAGUAAAUGCAGAAAUGAUGAUUGGCUCCAUUUAUGGGGGUUGUUAAGUCAAGGGUGCGGUGGAGAAUUGUCAAUGUUAAUUAAAUAUAUAUACUGGGAGACGGCGAUUACGAACAAAUCUGAUUUUGAAUCUACAUAGAUGCCAGAUGUCCGCAAUACACGGUAUUUUAGAAUGUAUAUCAGGGUAUAUCAGCUUUGAACGUAUGAUUAUUAUUAUAGCAUUUGCAGCAUUAGCUUCUUGCCGUCUGUUGCUUUGUAGGAGGAAUACCGACGAUGAUCAAAGAAACGAAGCAAACAAAAACCCGAUGAGGCUCCCGCGCCGCAGUCCGGUAAAAUCCCACGCCGCCGUCAGAAACUCCCACGCCGCAGUCCAAGUGCUCCCACGCCGCCGUCAAGUGAAUUCCCACGCCGCAGUCAAGUGUGGUCCCUCGCCGCUGUCCCAAAAAGAGAAUUUCCCACGCCGCAGUCGUCCAUCCGCUAGAUCUCCCUCGCCGUCAGUCCCAUCAGCCCGGUCCGCUCCAGUCCAGAGGGGUUUUAGGUUCUCCCUCGCCGCAGUCGAUUCGGUAUCCCACGUUGCCGAUGCCUAUAGAGUAGAAGCGUUGUCCCUAGCGCCCUCGCCUAACCGAAGCCCUAAUAUAAAUCCCACGUUGCGCAACAUGCGAAUCCCUCGCUGCCGUCUCAUCUCCAUGGUUAUGGUAUUGCAUCCAGCGCCGCCGUCCACUUUUAGUGGUGUCCCACGCUGCCGUCAAUUCGAGGUAUCCCACGCUGCCGUCCUUACUUGGUUAUCCCACGCUGCCGUCAAAGCGAAAAUGCGUUACCGAAAAAUGUUGCGACAAAACUGCGACAAUAAGCGAGAUCCUUCAAGGAAAUUCCCAUUCAUUCAAUCCUAAGCGCCACUCAGAAACGGAAGAUGAAUA
RNA transcript from Drosophila albomicans, 2288 nucleotides. RefSeq lists it as uncharacterized. The transcript is spliced from 4 exons. NCBI's taxonomy places the organism in Eukaryota, Metazoa, Arthropoda, Insecta, Diptera, Drosophilidae. The record is from RefSeq and is a predicted model, not a curated record.